RNAcentral lists this transfer RNA (77 nucleotides) under Flavobacteriales bacterium. RNAcentral describes it as "tRNA-Asn". It matches the Rfam family "tRNA". Rfam says of the family: Transfer RNA (tRNA) molecules are approximately 80 nucleotides in length. The record is from RNAcentral. Lineage: Bacteria; Pseudomonadati; Bacteroidota; Flavobacteriia; Flavobacteriales.
UCCUCAGUAGCUCAGCUGGUUAGAGCNNCAUCUGACUGUUAAUCAGAGGGUCGCUGGUUCAAGUCCAGCCUGAGGAG